RNAcentral lists this ribosomal RNA (487 nucleotides) under Enterobacter hormaechei. RNAcentral describes it as "bacterial SSU rRNA". It matches the Rfam family "Bacterial small subunit ribosomal RNA", at positions 30 to 504 of the family's 1533-position model. The record is from RNAcentral. Lineage: Bacteria; Pseudomonadati; Pseudomonadota; Gammaproteobacteria; Enterobacterales; Enterobacteriaceae.
AUUGAACGCUGGCGGCAGGCCUAACACAUGCAAGUCGAACGGUAACAGGAAGCAGCUUGCUGCUUUGCUGACGAGUGGCGGACGGGUGAGUAAUGUCUGGGAAACUGCCUGAUGGAGGGGGAUAACUACUGGAAACGGUAGCUAAUACCGCAUAACGUCGCAAGACCAAAGAGGGGGACCUUCGGGCCUCUUGCCAUCGGAUGUGCCCAGAUGGGAUUAGCUAGUAGGUGGGGUAACGGCUCACCUAGGCGACGAUCCCUAGCUGGUCUGAGAGGAUGACCAGCCACACUGGAACUGAGACACGGUCCAGACUCCUACGGGAGGCAGCAGUGGGGAAUAUUGCACAAUGGGCGCAAGCCUGAUGCAGCCAUGCCGCGUGUAUGAAGAAGGCCUUCGGGUUGUAAAGUACUUUCAGCGGGGAGGAAGGCGAUAAGGUUAAUAACCUUGUUCGAUUGACGUUACCCGCAGAAGAAGCACCGCUAACUCC